This 253-nucleotide ribosomal RNA is filed under the name uncultured bacterium. RNAcentral's name for it is "partial 16S ribosomal RNA". It matches the Rfam family "Bacterial small subunit ribosomal RNA", at positions 524 to 776 of the family's 1533-position model. The record is from RNAcentral.
UACAGAGGUGACAACCGUUGUCCGGAAUUAUUGGGCGUAAAGGGCGCGUAGGUGGUUGAGUAAGUCAGGUGUGAAAGCUCUGGGCUUAACCCAGGAAUUGCAUCUGAUACUGCUCGGCUUGAGUACGGUAGAGGAGGGUGGAAUUCCCAGUGUAGCGGUGAAAUGCGUAGAUAUUGGGAGGAACACCGGUGGCGAAGGCGGCCCUCUGGACCGAAACUGACACUGAAGCGCGAAAGCUAGGGGAGCAAACGGG